ACCCUUAGAUGUUCUGGGCUGCACGCGCGCUACACUGAUGCGUUCAACGAGUGUAUCACCUUGCCCGAUAGGGUUGGGUAAUCUUUUGAACACGCAUCGUGAUGGGGAUAGAUUAUUGCAAUUAUUAAUCUUCAACGAGGAAUUCCUAGUAAUGAUGGAUCAUCAGUUCAUCGUGAUUACGUCCCUGCCCUUUGUACACACCGCCCGUCGCUCCUACCGAUGAGCAAUCCGGUGAAUAAUUCGGACCGAUAGAUUACCUGGUUCGCCAGGUUUUUUGUUGGAAAGUCUAGUGAACCUUAUUGCUUAGAGGAAGGAGAAGUCGUAACA
This 327-nucleotide ribosomal RNA is filed under the name uncultured eukaryote. Its description in RNAcentral is "partial 18S ribosomal RNA". It matches the Rfam family "Eukaryotic small subunit ribosomal RNA", at positions 1469 to 1796 of the family's 1831-position model. The record is from RNAcentral.